UAUGGGGUCACCUCUGUUGUUAACCAUAUAUUAAAAGUGUCGUCCCUGUAGUGAAGGUGUUAGUGGUGAUAGUCUACUAACACCUUGUGUAUGGGGUCACCUCUGUUG
Molecule: long non-coding RNA, 108 nt
Organism: Homarus americanus (American lobster)
Lineage: Eukaryota; Metazoa; Arthropoda; Malacostraca; Decapoda; Nephropidae
Exons: 3
Source: RefSeq, a predicted model, not a curated record